This 301-nucleotide ribosomal RNA is filed under the name uncultured bacterium. RNAcentral describes it as "partial 16S ribosomal RNA". It matches the Rfam family "Bacterial small subunit ribosomal RNA", at positions 509 to 807 of the family's 1533-position model. The record is from RNAcentral.
CAGCCGCCGCGGUAAUACGGAGGGGGCUAGCGUUGUUCGGAAUUACUGGGCGUAAAGCGCACGUAGGCGGCUUGGUAAGUUAGAGGUGAAAGCCCGGAGCUCAACUCCGGAAUUGCCUUUAAGACUGCCGAGCUAGUAGGUGAGAGAGGUAAGUGGAAUUCCGAGUGUAGAGGUGAAAUUCGUAGAUAUUCGGAAGAACACCAGUGGCGAAGGCGGCUUACUGGCUCAUUCUAGACGCUGAGGUGCGAGAGCGUGGGGAGCAAACAGGAUUAGAUACCCGCGUAGUCCCUGUCUCUUAUAC